GACGAACGCUGGCGGCGUGCCUAAUACAUGCAAGUAGGACGCACAGUUUAUACCGUAGCUUGCUACACCAUAGACUGUGAGUUGCGAACGGGUGAGUAACGCGUAGGUAACCUGCCUAUUAGAGGGGGAUAACUAUUGGAAACGAUAGCUAAUACCGCAUAACAGUAUGUAACACAUGUUAGAUGCUUGAAAGAUGCAAUUGCAUCGCUAGUAGAUGGACCUGCGUUGUAUUAGCUAGUAGGUAGGGUAAAGGCCUACCUAGGCAACGAUACAUAGCCGACCUGAGAGGGUGAUCGGCCACACUGGGACUGAGACACGGCCCAGACUCCUACGGGAGGCAGCAGUAGGGAAUCUUCGGCAAUGGGGGGAACCCUGACCGAGCAACGCCGCGUGAGUGAAGAAGGUUUUCGGAUCGUAAAGCUCUGUUGUUAAGGAAGAACGAGUGUGAGAAUGGAAAGUUCAUACUGUGACGGUACUUAACCAGAAAGGGACGGCUAACUACGUGCCAGCAGCCGCGGUAAUACGUAGGUCCCGAGCGUUGUCCGGAUUUAUUGGGCGUAAAGCGAGCGCAGGCGGUUAGAAAAGUCUGAAGUGAAAGGCAGUGGCUCAACCAUUGUAGGCUUUGGAAACUGUUUAACUUGAGUGCAGAAGGGGAGAGUGGAAUUCCAUGUGUAGCGGUGAAAUGCGUAGAUAUAUGGAGGAACACCGGUGGCGAAGGCGGCUCUCUGGUCUGUAACUGACGCUGAGGCUCGAAAGCGUGGGGAGCGA
RNAcentral lists this ribosomal RNA (768 nucleotides) under uncultured Streptococcaceae bacterium. RNAcentral describes it as "bacterial SSU rRNA". It matches the Rfam family "Bacterial small subunit ribosomal RNA", at positions 28 to 771 of the family's 1533-position model. The record is from RNAcentral. Lineage: Bacteria; Bacillati; Bacillota; Bacilli; Lactobacillales; Streptococcaceae.